AUCCUGCUGACGACUCCGAUACAGAACGAAACGCGCGUCUUGGAU
Molecule: non-coding RNA, 45 nt
Organism: Schistosoma mansoni
Lineage: Eukaryota; Metazoa; Platyhelminthes; Trematoda; Strigeidida; Schistosomatidae
Source: Rfam